Molecule: long non-coding RNA, 4413 nt
Organism: Herpailurus yagouaroundi (jaguarundi)
Lineage: Eukaryota; Metazoa; Chordata; Mammalia; Carnivora; Felidae
Exons: 3
Source: RefSeq, a predicted model, not a curated record
CUGUCUCUCUCUCUCCUUCAAAAAUAAAUAAAAACAUUAAAAGUAAGCUUUGAGUGAUUAGUAAAAGCAUAGAUAUUGAGGUCAGACAGCUGUGGUGAUUAAAAUAAUAAAGCACCUUGAACAUACAGUUGACCUUGAACACUUGGCUGGAUGAGGGGCGCCUGCUCCCCAUGUACUCAAAACAACUCACGUUACUAUUGACUCCCUCCAAACUUGACUACGCACAGCCUACUGUUGUCCAACACCAAAUCUGGGGAGAAGAGAACAUGAAAUAAGGAAGAGGGAUUAGGAGAGUGGCAGUAGAAAGGGAAAGGGGAGGCAAUUAUGAGGAACACGUUCAAGGUAGAGCCAAUAGAACUUGGUAACUGAUUUUGUGUGGGUUGAGGGAAGGAUAAAAAAAAUGUGUUCCAGCUGAUGUGAGCAGAAUGAAGUGGCAUUAACAGAAUAAUAAGUAUAACCGUAGAUACAAUUUGUUGAGUGCUGAUUGUGCUUCGGGCCCUGUGUGUCCAUUACCACUUAAUUUUAGCGACGUGACACUUAAUUUUAACAACUUUGGGAGAUUACCAUCUCCAUUCUGCAGAUGAAGAAACCAAGGUUCCUGGGAGUUGAAUUACAUCACCAAGUAUGGAUUUGAGAGCUGUCUUAUUUUAAACGCAUCAUGGAGAAUAAAGGAAGUUAGGAGGAGACGCGGCCACAGGUGAAAUAGAAUAACCAUCGGAAUCGCCUGUUUGCACUAAGGAACUUCUAGUAGGUUCCGAGGAGAAAUUGACAUCCCUUGGGCAUCGGGACAAGGGAUGGAGAAUGCUUUGUGUACCUUCCAUAUCUCAGUGGGCCUCUAGUGGUAGUAGAUGUUUAACAAAUAUGUGUGGAAAGAAUGAAUGAUGCCUGGCAAUCAUGCUGUGUUUCUUCAGACCAGUAACUGAAGUCCACUGAAUCAUGUUUCAAAGACAUGAGCCAUUAUCACAUUUCACCACUUACCCCUGUAGUUCUCAGCCUGGUAUCGUUCUAACGUUUACAAAGUCAUCUCACCAUGUUUACCUCUGUGUCAAGGUUUAGUUUACUCUGAGGAUUCUCUCUCCAACUUCGUUAGAAACCCACUGGUACGUAUUCUCAUCUUCAUUAACGGACAAAGCAGGGUGCAAGGAGCCCAGUGCGUUCCCCGGAAAAUAAAAUGGAGAUGGGCGCCCGGCAUGGUCCCAGAAAUAAAUCCACGACCACGCAGUCUUCUGUCAUCUAAGCAGACACUCAUCUGUGUAUCUCUAUGAUUAUAGUUGAAUUGGCCUCUAGGCUUCUGUAACUUUUCAGCUUAUGUGGGAACAGAAGUUGUCCUCUGCCCAAAAGGGUCGGAACCAGAGAUCACAACCCCAGGUGGCACCUGAGGCAGUCGAUGGCCCCGAUUCCUCUGACCAAGGAUUCUUGCCUUUCUUUUCCAGCUCUACUCUUACCCCCUCGUUCCUUGCUUUCCUUCAACUUUUCCAGCCCCUUCUCCUACUCCAUUCCUCUUGCUCUGCCUCUCCUUCUGUCCACCCUCUUCCAUCCUACUCCCAGAGAUCCUUCCCUCCCCACUCAUCCUGUUUCCUUGCCUCACUGGGCAGGGCAGUGCUGGGACCACCACCACGAAGCCCUGACGUCAUAGGUCAGAACACGGAGAGCCCAGAGCAGGGGUUUUUAACCGAUGAUCCAUAAAUGAGCUCCAGGAGUCCCGCGAACCCUUGGACAUUAUGUACAAAAGUUGGCCGUAGGCACUACCUGCCGUUAUUUUUGGAGCAGGGUCCAUGACGUUUAUCAGAGUCUCAAGGGAUUUCAAAACCCAAAAAAGGUAACAUCAAGUAGGCUUGGAUUGUCAAGUAAAGUAAAUGGUACUCUAAAGUAAGCAUCUUUUUUUUUUUUGUCACUUUAAAGUAAACCUUACCACUUGGUCUGGAGAAACCAGGUGGCCCUUAGCAGAUGAGAUUUUCUAGGAAUAUCCGCCUAUAUUUCCUGAAUGGGGCGAGCUACCAGAUUGUCAACAGCGCAUUAGGACGGACUAUUGAAUGAUGGUCAAUCUAAUUUCAAUAUCAGGGCUAAAGAGCUGCAGAUACCGACCCUUGAAAGCAAAGCAAAAGGGAGGGGUGGGAAUCUGUCACGGAACAUUGACAUUGUUGUUCAAGGCACUGGGAAUAUAGUGGUAAUAAGACAAACUGGAUUCCCUGAAUUCAUUGAAUUCUAGUGUAAGAAGCAAAUAAAUAUAUGAGCUCAGAGACUCGUAAAUGCUAUGAAUGAAAGAAAGCAGGGUAACGGAACAUGGUACUGGGGAGGCAACAUCAAACAGGGUGGUCAGAGAAGAGCUUUCUCAGAAGCCGACAUUGGGGUUAAUCUUGAGUGGUGACAAGCCAGAGAUGGGUAGGUCCUGGGAAAGAGCAAUUGGGCGGGUGGGGCAGGAAGCGGGAAACAACAAAUGCAAAGGGCUUGAGCUUGGAUUUGAACUUGAAGCAAAGAAAACCAGAGACGCUAGAGCAUAGUAAGCAAGAGAAGAAAAGGAUACAUGGAUGACACCAGAGUGGGGAACAGAGACCAGGUAAUGUACAGAAUUUCAGGCCAAGGUAAGGACUUGGGAUUUUAUACAAACCCACAUUUGAAAUCCACCGGAGCAUACUAAGCAGGGGAGCGAAGAUAAACAUUUAUUUAACAAAGAUUUGUUUGACAGCCUACUGUAUACGAGUCAUUUCCUAGUCAUGAGGGUCUAUGCCAGGCCCGGCCUCUGCUCUCAUGGAACUUACAUUCGAGUGAAACAAAUUAAAUGAACCCAGCAACAGGCAAACACCAGGGAAUGAUAAAUUUUAUAAAGAAGAUGAAGUCAAAAAGUGCGGCAGAAAGUGACCUGCCAGCGACUAUAGACUGAGUGCAGGAGAAAUGGCCAACACAGUGGCCCCAACUGAGAAACAAAUGCGCUAGAAUGUUUGAGGUAAGAACCAAAGACAAGGGGCAAGAUGGGGAGAGUGGUUCAAAACUGAGGUCAAAAAAGAAAUAAGAAGGUAGGUAAGGUUUAGAUUAAGAAAAUGAAACGGCAUUGGAGGGUUUUAAACACGAUGUCUUCGUCUGUUUGAGCUGGUAUAGCAAAACACCAUAAAUGGGGCGGCUUCUAAGAAAUAGAAAUUUCUCUCUGCCAGUCCUGGAGCUGAAAGUUCAAGAUCAAGGCACCGGCGGUGUCCAUGUCUGGUAAGCGCUUGCUUCCUGGUUUAUAGGCGGCUGUCCUCUCAUUGUUCUUCCCAUGGCGGAAGGGGUGAGGGGGCUCCGCGGGGUCUCUUGUGAGAGCAUACAUCUCAUUCAUGACAGUUUCACACUCAUCACCUAAGCAUCUCCCAAGGCCCCACGUUCAAAUACUAUCACGUUGAGCAUUAGGUUUCAAUGUCUGAACUUUGGAGGGACACAAACAUUCAGUAUUAACACUGGAGAACAACGUCCACUGACUUUUACUCUAAAAGUAAAACCCUUCAAUGCAGAGAAUGGGUUGCUAGUGUGGAGAUGGGGUUGAGAGGAAGCUGUUUAAGAAAGUACAGCGGUAACUUAGGCCCCAAAUGACGGUACCUUGGACAAGUACCGUCGUACUAGACAAGGUCAAAAGGAUUAGAUUUGGGAUCUUUCUUUUGUAGGUAAAGCCGACGGGACUCUCUAGAGGCUAUGACGUAGAAGGAAGAGGAGGACAAGGAAUUAAACUUCUGGAUUUUGGUUUGACCAGUUAAAUAAAUGGUACACCACUUACUGUGGUGGAGAAGGUAUCCACUACAAGGUAAAUAGUUGCAUUCCCACUUUACAGAUGAGGAAACUAAGCUUCAACAAAUAUGAUUCCAAAAUCUAUGCUUUAUCCACCACAGUGUCUUUGCCAGGAGUGUGGAUUAUCCAGGUUUGAUUAAUGGGCAUAGGAAAAAGGAUAUAUAUAGCAAAACAGGCAAGUAUCUUGACAGUGUAUGUAAGGUGCGUGUGUGCAUGCCUCUAUCUGUGUGUGUAUGUGUGUGUGUGUGUUUGUAAUCUUGCUGAGAGAAGUGUAGAUCAGCUCUCUUAUUUUUUAUCCCUUCCUUUAUCUUCUCCAUCUCUGAAAGUGGAAGGAUAGUGGAGAAAUCAGAAGACUCCAGACUUGAGACCAGCCUGUGCUGCGAGUACCAGGAUGAACUCUGACAAACUGAGGCACUGAAGCCUCUCGAAAAACCCAAGAGGACCAGGUUGGGAGAGCUGUGCUGGUGAACGCGACGAGGCUCAGGAGGAGUGGCGGCUGGAGAAGUCUGGAAGCCCCUGCGCCCUUUCCCCACACCUUGCCCCAGGCAUCUUCAUCUGACCCGGUGAUUCACCAGCACACCCUUUACUGAUGUAGGAAACAUCUACGCUGCAACUGUCUCUGUGGCCUAGUCUCACCUCAAAAUCUGGUCCGGGGAUCUU